Molecule: ribosomal RNA, 254 nt
Filed under: uncultured bacterium
Lineage: Bacteria
Description: partial 16S ribosomal RNA
Rfam family: Bacterial small subunit ribosomal RNA
Source: RNAcentral
UACGGGGGGAGCAAGCGUUGUUCGGAUUUACUGGGCGUAAAGGGCGCGUAGGCGGUCAGCACAAGUCAGUUGUGAAAUCUCCGGGCUUAACUCGGAAAGGUCAACUGAUACUGUGCGACUAGAGUGCAGAAGGGGCAACUGGAAUUCUCGGUGUAGCGGUGAAAUGCGUUGAGAUCGGAAGGAACGCCCGUGGCGAAAGCGAGGUCCUGGACGUUUUCUGACGCUGAGAUGCGAAAGCCAGGGGAGCGAACGGG